CAAGCACGCUGGAUGAUCGCGGCUAAUCAUUCGCAAGAAUGAGCGGCUGAGGAAAGUCCGCACUCCACAGGGCACGGUGCCGGCUAACGGCCGGGCGAGGUGACUCGCCGGAAUAGUGCAACAGAGAGGCGUAUUGCCUGCUUUUGCAGGUGAGGGUGAAACGGUGGUGUAAGAGACCACCGGCAGCGGCAGUAAUGUCACUGGCCAGGUAAACCCCACCGGGAGCAAGACCAAGCAGGGUGAAAGGCCACGGCCUACGGGGCGGCCCGUCCCGUCAAACAUCCGGGUAGGUUGCAAGAGGGUGUUGGUAACAGCACUCCUAGAUAGAUGAUCAUCAGCUCAAGCAACAUGCUUGAGCAUACAGAAUGCGGCUUAUAGGCGAGCUUGGCAA
This 391-nucleotide RNase P RNA is filed under the name Chloroflexota bacterium. Its description in RNAcentral is "Chloroflexi bacterium RNase P RNA component class A". It matches the Rfam family "Bacterial RNase P class A". From Rfam's summary of the family: Ribonuclease P (RNase P) is a ubiquitous endoribonuclease, found in archaea, bacteria and eukarya as well as chloroplasts and mitochondria. Lineage: Bacteria; Bacillati; Chloroflexota. The record is from RNAcentral.